RNAcentral lists this long non-coding RNA (466 nucleotides) under Mytilus galloprovincialis (Mediterranean mussel). The record is from RNAcentral. Lineage: Eukaryota; Metazoa; Mollusca; Bivalvia; Mytilida; Mytilidae.
GGAAUGGAUUCUUAGAAGAGGCUGCUUGACUUGAACAAAACAAAAUUGGUUAAUGAAAACUAUAACUUUAAGGGUCUUAAAACAUAUGUUAGUUUAUGAACAUAGGAAAUGUACGCGGAAAUACGUGACGUAGAGAGCCAAGAGAGGUGUAAGGGCAAGUGCAAUGUAGUUUCGUUGAACAAAAGUACGGAAAUAAAUAAGAGUAAAUAUCUAGUACUUUCUUCCCACCAAAAUUACUUUCUUCCCGCCAAAAUAACUUUCUUCCUUCCAAAGGAAAGACGUAGAAAAGAGAGAUUAGAAGAAUGUGGUCUCACUUUAUUUAUUAACGCCCCCCUCCCCCCAAAAAAACCAAGAAAAUAAAAAACCAAAAAAAAACCGCAUUAUUCUUUAUGUGCAUGCAUGCAAUAUAUAUAUCAAUAGUAUUCGGUGACCUUGUUGUCCUUAAAAAGAAAUGUAUUUAUCCACA